UAUGAUCCAGAGUACCACGGGACACGUGAAACCCUGUGGGAAGCAGGAGGGACCACCCUCCAAGGCUAAAUACUACCUAGUGACCGAUAGCGUAUAGUACCGUGAGGGAAAGGUGAAAAGAACCCCGGGAGGGGAGUGAAAUAGAACCUGAAACCCUGCACUUACAAGCUGUGGAAGCACAUUUCUUGUGUGACCGCGUACUUUUUGUAGAACGGGCCAACGAGUUACGUUAAGUAGCAAGGUUAAGCACUUAAGGUGCGGAGCCGUAGCGAAAGCGAGUUUUAACUGAGCGUUCAGUUACUUGACGUAGACCCGAAACCGGGCGACCUACCCAUGAGCAGGAUGAAGCGAAAGUAAAAUUUCGUGGAGGUCCGAACCCACGAGCGUUGAAAAGCUCGGGGAUGACUUGUGGGUAGCGGUGAAAUUCCAAUCGAGCCCGGAGAUAGCUGGUUCUCCCCGAAAUAGCUUUAGGGCUAGCCUCAAGGUGAGAGAUACGGAGGUAGAGCACUGAAUGUCCUAGGGGGUAUUGCACCUACCGAAGACUAUCAAACUCCGAAUGCCGUCAUCUUAUACUUGGGAGUCAGACUGUGGGUGAUAAGAUUCAUAGUCGAAAGGGCAACAGCCCAGAUCGUCAGCUAAGGUCCCUAAAUGUAAGUUAAGUGGUAAAGGAUGUGGGAUUGCACAGACAACCAGGAUGUUGGCUUAGAAGCAGCCACUCAUUCAAAGAGUGCGUAAUAGCUCACUGGUCGAGUGAUCCUGCGCCGAAGAUUUCCGGGGCUAAAACUUACUACCGAAGCUACGGCAUCAGUAAUGAUGGGUAGGGGAGCUUCCCAUACGGGUUGAAGCAUGACCGUAAGGACAUGUGGACAGUAUGGGAGUGAGAAUGUUGGCAUGAGUAGCGAGAUGUGGGUGAGAAUCCCACAGGCCGUAAACCCAAGGUUUCCAGGGGAAGGUUCGUCCGCCCUGGGUUAGUCGGGACCUAAGCUGAGGCCGAAAGGCGUAGGUGAUGGACAACAGGUUGAUAUUCCUGUACUACCGAUAACCGUUUGAGAGAAGGGAUGACACAGUAGGAUAAGCUAAGCACACUGUUGGUUAUGUGUGCCCAAGCAUUGAGGCAGUCAAAGUAGGCAAAUCCGCUUUGAUAAUGCUGGGAUGUGAUGGGGAGCGAAAUUUAGUAGCGAAGUAGCUGAUUUCACACUGUCAAGAAAAGUCUCUAUCGAGGUUAAAGGUACCCGUACCGCAAACCGACACAGGUGGGUGAGGAGAGUAUCCUAAGGCCAGCGAGAGAACUGUUGUUAAGGAACUCGGCAAAAUGACCCCGUAACUUAGGGAUAAGGGGUGCCACCAUCAGGUGGCCGCAGAGAAUAGGCCCAAGCGACUGUUUACCAAAAACAUAGGUUUCUGCUAAGUCGCAAGACGAUGUAUAGGAGCUGACGCCUGCCCGGUGCUGGAAGGUUAAGGGGAUCUGUUAGAGCAAUCGAAGCAGUGAACUUAAGCCCCAGUAAACGGCGGCCGUAACUAUAACGGUCCUAAGGUAGCGAAAUUCCUUGUCGGGUAAGUUCCGACCCGCACGAAAGGCGUAACGAUUUGGGCACUGUCUCAACAACAGACUCGGUGAAAUUGUAAUUCCGGUGAAGAUGCCGGAUACCUGCGACAGGACGGAAAGACCCCAUGGAGCUUUACUGUAGCUUGACAUUGGGUCUUGGUACUACAUGUACAGGAUAGGUGGGAGGCUUUGAAACCAGGACGCCAGUUUUGGCGGAGCCAUCCUUGGGAUACCACCCUUGUAGUACUGGGACUCUAACCAUAGGCCAUGAAUCUGGUCUUGGGACACUGUCAGGUGGGCAGUUUGACUGGGGCGGUCGCCUCCCAAAAGGUAACGGAGGCGCUCAAAGGUUCUCUCAGUACGGUCGGAAAUCGUACGUAGAGUGUAAAGGCAAAAGAGAGCUUGAUUGCAAGACAUACAGGUCGAGCAAGGAUGAAAAUCGGACUUAGUGAUCCGGUGGUUCUGCGUGGAAGGGCCAUCGCUCAACGGAUAAAAGCUACCCUGGGGAUAACAGGCUUAUCUCCCCCAAGAGUCCACAUCGACGGGGAGGUUUGGCACCUCGAUGUCGGCUCAUCACAUCCUGGGGCUGUAGUAGGUCCCAAGGGUUGGGCUGUUCGCCCAUUAAAGUGGUACGCGAGCUGGGUUCAGAACGUCGUGAGACAGUUCGGUCCCUAUCCGUCGCAGGCGUAGGAAAUUUGAGAAGACCUGUCCUUAGUACGAGAGGACCGGGAUGGACGUACCUCUGGUGUACCAGUUGUUCUGCCAAGGGCAUGGCUGGGUAGCUAUGUACGGAAUGGAUAAGCGCUGAAAGCAUCUAAGCGCGAAGCCAACUUCAAGAUAAGAUUUCCCACCGCAAGGGUAAGACCCCAGAAAGACUAUCUGGUUGAUAGGUCGAAGGUGUAAGUGCAGCAAUGUAUUUAGCUUAUCGAUACUAAUAGGUCGAGGACUUGACCAA
This 2501-nucleotide ribosomal RNA is filed under the name Clostridioides difficile E7. RNAcentral describes it as "bacterial LSU rRNA". It matches the Rfam family "Bacterial large subunit ribosomal RNA", at positions 401 to 2925 of the family's 2925-position model. Lineage: Bacteria; Bacillati; Bacillota; Clostridia; Peptostreptococcales; Peptostreptococcaceae. The record is from RNAcentral.